RNAcentral lists this transfer RNA (89 nucleotides) under Nocardioides sp. Its description in RNAcentral is "tRNA-Leu". It matches the Rfam family "tRNA". From Rfam's summary of the family: Transfer RNA (tRNA) molecules are approximately 80 nucleotides in length. Their secondary structure includes four short double-helical elements and three loops (D, anti-codon, and T loops). Lineage: Bacteria; Bacillati; Actinomycetota; Actinomycetes; Propionibacteriales; Nocardioidaceae. The record is from RNAcentral. RNAcentral also lists the same sequence under 4 other names.
GUCCGGGUGGCGGAAUAGGUAGACGCGCUAGCUUGAGGUGCUAGUGCCCUUUAUCGGGCGUGGGGGUUCAAGUCCCCCCUCGGACACCA